CAUGUCUUUUUGAUUAUAAUUUAAAGUCUAACCUGCCCAAUGAGGAGUUAAAUGGCCGCAAUAUUUUGAUUGUGCAAAGGUAGCAUAAUAAUUAGUUUUUUAAUUGAGAACUGGUAUGAAUGGUUGGACGAGAAAAAAACUGUCUCAAUUUAAAUUUAAUUAGAAUUUUAUUUUUAAGUUAAAAAGCUUAAAUAAUUUUAAAAGACGAGAAGACCCUAUAGAGUUUUAUAUAUUUUUUAUAUUUAAUAUUUUAAGUAUUAUUAUUUAUUAAUUUUAAAAAUUAUAUUUGAUUGGGGUGAUUGAAAAAUUUAAUAAACUUUUUUUAAUUUAUAUCAUUUAUUUAUGUAUAAUUGAUCCAUAUUUUUAUGAUUAUAAGAUUAAAUUACCUUAGGGAUAACAGCGUAAUUUUUUUUGAGAGUUCUUAUCGAAAAAAAAGAUUGCGACC
This 445-nucleotide ribosomal RNA is filed under the name Sisyphus faciculatus. RNAcentral describes it as "partial 16S ribosomal RNA". The record is from RNAcentral. Lineage: Eukaryota; Metazoa; Arthropoda; Insecta; Coleoptera; Scarabaeidae.